This 804-nucleotide ribosomal RNA is filed under the name uncultured Tubeufiaceae. RNAcentral's name for it is "eukaryotic LSU rRNA". The stretch from base 279 to 804 matches the Rfam family "Eukaryotic large subunit ribosomal RNA", at positions 1 to 532 of the family's 3401-position model. The record is from RNAcentral. Lineage: Eukaryota; Fungi; Ascomycota; Dothideomycetes; Tubeufiales; Tubeufiaceae.
GAUAGUAAUGCGAAUUGCAGAAUUCCAGUGAGUCAUCGAAUCUUUGAACGCACAUUGCGCCCUUUGGUAUUCCGAAGGGCAUGCCUGUUCGAGCGUCAUUAUCACCCCUCAAGCCCCGAUGCUUGGUGUUGGACGGCCGGUCGAGCGAUCGACCCCUCCUAAAGACAAUGACGGCGGCCUGUGGUUCCCCCGGAUACACUGAGCUUUUCACCGAGCACGUAUCGGACAAGGGCACCCGGGACCCGGUCCUCUCCUUUCACAAGGAAACUUUCUAUGGUUGACCUCGGAUCAGGUAGGAAUACGCGCUGAASUUAAGCAUAUCAAUAAGCGCAGGAAAAGAAACCAACAGGGAUUACCUCAGUAACGGCGAGUGAAGCGGUAAUAGCUCAAAUUUGAAAUCUGGCCUCUUGGGGUCCGAGUUGUAAUUUGUAGAGGAUGUUUUGGGUACCGCCCCGGUCUAAAUUUCUUGGAACAGAAUGUCAAAGAGGGUGAGAAUCCCGUCUUGGACCGGCGGUAGGGCCUGUGUAAAACUCCUUCGACGAGUCGAGUUGUUUGGGAAUGCAGCUCAAAAUGGGUGGUAAAUUUCAUCUAAAGCUAAAUAUUGGCCAGAGACCGAUAGCGCACAAGUAGAGUGAUCGAAAGAUGAAAAGCACUUUGAAAAGAGAGUUAAACAGUAUGUGAAAUUGUUGAAAGGGAAGCGCUUGCAACCAGACUUGAGCGCGGCGGUUCCCCCGGUCUUUUGGCCGGGCUACUCCGUCGUGUCCAGGCCAACAUCGGUUCUGAGGGUCGGUCAAAGGCCUUGGG